Molecule: small RNA, 2391 nt
Filed under: Histoplasma capsulatum
Lineage: Eukaryota; Fungi; Ascomycota; Eurotiomycetes; Onygenales; Ajellomycetaceae
Description: hypothetical RNA
Source: RNAcentral
ACUGCUUCCAAACUCUCGAGACUCCAGCGCGGGAGCUUCUGGGUUGACCGCGGAGGCGACAACUGGCAACUCCUCUCACCAAGCCGGCAUUGCCUCAGAUCCCACAGUCUACCGCUGAAUUCCAUUCCAUUAUUCCAAUGCAAUAACACCCCCUUGUGCGACUUGCCCGGAGCACCCAGUAUCCGCUUCGUUGUCUUUUUUCUUUUUCUUCUUCCUUUUUGGAUGUGCUAAAAAUUUUAUCUCUAUAUGGCUCUCUUGUCUAGCCUCUCCCGUCCCAAUCGCUCUCUCUGUCUCUCGCCCAUAUUAGUCCAUGGCUAGAGGAAAGGCCCUGGACCAGCCCGACGCGGGCUUAAAAGGCCUGGACCAUUAUCAACAGAAACUCCCUAGAUGGCGGUACAAGCUACGGACUGCCCUGUUGCCCUUGGUGCGGUGGGAAACGCCUUAUCUUGCUUGGUUCCAGGAGCAAAUGCGCAAUCCAUCUCUUGAUUCUUGGUUUGCGAUCACCGCCAACCUAGGGACCCAUACCUUCUAUAUGAUAAUGCUACCUGUUCUUUUUUGGUGUGGCUAUACAGAGGUCGGUCGAGGAAUCGUCCAUCUCUUAGCAUCAGGCGUCUUCAUCAGCGGCUGGUUUAAGGAUAUGUUAUGUCUUCCUCGACCUUUGUCUCCACCUCUCCAUCGAAUUACCAUGUCUGGCUCCGCGGCGUUAGAAUACGGGUUUCCCUCUACUCACUCGACCAAUGCCAUCUCAGUCGUCGUUUACGGACUUUACCUUUUAAACUCGCCUGACUCGACUGUCGAUCCGGUUGCGAGAAUUAUCUUCCACGUUAUCCUGUAUAUAUUCGGGACAUCCAUUGUUAUUGGGAGGCUGUACUGCGGGAUGCAUGGGUUUUUCGACGUUAUCACUGGCAGUUUCCUGGGCGCUUUGUUGGGCUAUGUACGAUGUUCAUACGGGGAGAGCUAUGACGAACUUAUCUAUUCGGGCUCGAUAAAUGUGAUAUUUGCAGUAGUUGCGGUUGUUCUUGCAUUGGUUCGAAUGCACCCUGAGCCCGCAGAUUCGUGCCCUUGCUUCGACGAUAGUCUUGCAUUCGCAGGGGUGUUGAUGGGCGCGGAGUUCGGGAACUGGCACUUCGCUCAAACCACUUUUGCAAGCAAUGACCCUUAUCCAGGGACGGUUCCAUAUGAUUUGGCAAAACUCGGUUGGGCCAAAACUAUUUUGCGGAUUAUCCUUGGAGUCGUGAUUGUCUUCUUGUGGAGGGAAAUAAUGAAACCAUCCCUUCAUAAGUUGCUGCCGCCUGUAUUUCGAGUAAUCGAACGGCUGGGCCUCAAUCUUCCCAGAAGAUUCUUCAUUCUCGCAUCCGAAUAUGAAAAAGUCCCCGGCCAUCUCAAAGAUGACGACGUAAUCCCCAAUGUCUCCGAAAUCCCUUCCAUCCUCACCUCAAUCCGCCACCCGCGCAGAAGAGCAGUUUCCGUAGGCCCUCAAUCAGAAGCAGACGCCUACGAGACACUUGCUUAUCGGGAGAAACGACGACGGGAAAGCAUCUCGUCUAACCAAUCGCGCAGCGUCAGUGCUGGGCGCAGACUUCCUCCGACGAUCGAGGAUAAGCGAAACAAGCAUAACACGUCGCCCGCCGCCGCCACCGCCGCCACCCCUGGGCGACCCGGAAGCAGGAAAACCAAUACGGCAGCGACGGACGGCAACUCGUUUUCGCCACCGGUCAUCAGGACCCCACGCAAACUUGAUGAGUAUGAACAUAUGAUGGGGACGGGGACGCCUGUCUUCAACACGGAAGCCACACUGAACAUGCAUGAUACUGGCGCUGGCGCGGACGUGAAUGUGAAUGUAGCCACGGGUGCAGCAGACACUCUUGAAUAUCAGCUCGAGGCGGAAGAGGAGAAGGAGAUGUUUUCGAAGAUCACACCGCCGCGAGUACGGUAUGAUGUGGAGGUUGUGACGAAGUUGGUUGUGUAUUUUGGAAUUGGAUGGCUGGCCGUGGAGUUUAUACCCAUUAUGUUUCAGCUGCUUGGAUUGGCUCUCUAGAAGUUUGUUCAGACUAUUUGGCACAUACACGACACGCACAUCACUAAAAUUUCGCUUUCUCAUAUGCAUGCGCAUAUAUAUCAGCAGGGCUGAUGUGACUACUAGAACUGGGGAUGUGAGGUACAUACAUAUAUCUGUAUUUCGUGCGGUACAUUGACGUUGAUGAGUAUGUUUGUUUACGGGUAGCUUUUCUUUCAUUGUUCCAUUUUUUCCAUCUUUUCUCUUGUGAAGCUGGCUAUUUUUUUUUUUUUUUUUUAAUUUUUUGAUGCCAAUAUUCUAUUUAUAUAUAUAUAUAAUUUUUCCUUUGGUCAAACACUAGAUAGGUCUCAAAUCAAAAAAUAGAUGCGUUGAAG